CCCUUAGAUGUUCUGGGCCGCACGCGUGCUACACUGACCGGCGCAGCAAGUUUCUUUCCUUGGCUCGAUAGGCCUGGGUAAUCUUUGAACGCCGGUCGUGAUGGGGAUAGAUCCUUGCAAUUUUUGAUCUUCAACGAGGAAUUCCUAGUAAAUGCGAGUCAUCAUCUCGCGUUGAUUACGUCCCUGCCCUUUGUACACACCGCCCGUCGCACCUACCGAUUGAAUGGUCCGGUGAAGCCUCGGGAUUGCGAAUGCUUCGUGCGGACGCGAGAACUUGGCUAAACCUUACCAUUUAGAGGAAGGUGAAGUCGUAACA
This 316-nucleotide ribosomal RNA is filed under the name uncultured eukaryote. RNAcentral describes it as "partial 18S ribosomal RNA". It matches the Rfam family "Eukaryotic small subunit ribosomal RNA", at positions 1470 to 1796 of the family's 1831-position model. The record is from RNAcentral.